UGGUAUACUCGGUUUUAUUUACCGUGAAGAAAACGUAAUCGCUUACAACUACUUCUAAGUGAAGUAGCUGAAAUGGGGAACAGCUUUUCCGACACAGUCCAGCACUUUGGCCAUGCUAUGCAAUAUCGCUAUUCUCAUGAAGAUUUAAUUGGAAGGGGAUCGUUUGGCGCUGUUUACAAAGCCAGAGUUACGAAGCGGUGCCGUUAUACAGGCGAAAAUUUUGUAGCAGUCAAAGUGAUACAAAUCUGUGCCUCUUCCGAAAACGUUGCCGACUACGAAAGUUUAAUAGCAACAUUGAGAACAUUGAGGAGACUCACUGAACUUCACCACGAGAAUCUCGUAGCGUAUCAUAAAGUGUCCAUCACAAGAUCGUCCGCCGGAGCCACAGUCGAACUAGCAAUGGACUGCCAUAUAGGGGAUCUGGCUAAGCUGCUGAGGGAAGCCAAGCAGAAGACAGAAAUCUUCAGUAGUUAUAAAAAGGUGGAAAAAUUUGUAAUCUACUUGGCUCGGGGAUUGGAUUGCCUGCAUCGCAACGGCAUUAUUCAUGGAGAUCUGAAACCGGAAAACGUUCUGGUAAAAGUAUCCGCAAAUGGUCGCCAAAAGCUGUUGAUCAGUGAUUUAGAUGAUAUAGUUCAGAUUGAAGGGAACGCAACUUCUUCGGCAGACAUUUCGCAGUUGUGCGGCACACCACGCUACAUGUCGCCAGAGAUGCUGAGAAAAUUUUCCCAAAUGGCGACUGAAGCGCCAGGACGGAAAGGGGAUAUGUGGAGCUUGGGCUGCAUCAUUCUUGAUCUGGUCGAGAGCGUGGGACGUGUAUUUAAGAAGCGACUUAUAAAGGAUGGGGACAUUAUAAUUUAUAAGUGCUGAAAUUCAGCUCGCCGAUUACCAGUACGCCACACUGAUAAUAAACGGCUACGCUCCGUUUGUGGACGGCGACGUUGAUGGAGACCUGGCCGGCAUCAUUCGCCAGUGUUUGAAUGUAAUCAGCACAAGUCGGUUAUCCGCCGGGGAACUGCUGCAGAAGUUGCAGAAAAAGGAGGUCAUAAUAUUUUUCGCUUCUGACAGCUUCGCUUUACGAGAUUUUUUAAUAAUUGACCCUCUAACUGGUUCUGUAAGCGUUCAAGACACGCCGAGUAAUGUGAAGAUCUCACGCGACUCGCGGUGGUUUGGCUAUCAACAGUUCUCUGUAACGGAAAGAAAAAUUCUGUUCACGGAAGAGAUACGUGACAUCGACGACAAGUGGAAGUUCCGUGUUUGUAUCUGGAGUUUUGGCGAAGGAGCAUGGCAUGAACGAGAGACAAUUUUGGCCUUAGACGUACGGAUACAUCCUGAAACAAGCUUUGUCGCGGUACAGAACAAAGUUUAUUUCUGGGACAUGAACAAAAUGUUAACGGAAAUAAGCAUCUCUACUGGCAGGGUUACGUCUCUGAAGCAUAUUCCGUGGAGAUCCUACGAAUUUGUACAAGCAGUGGCAAAAUACGAUCUGCAGAUAAUUUAUGCUACACCACCGGUCCUGUGGCAGUUUGAUACGGUAACAAAAAGUUGGAAAUCCUACCCUAAGAUGCCAACACGACGCUUGGAUUUUGCAAUGGCUGUGGUCAACGAUUACGUAUACAUUAUGGGGGGAUACGUUAACAAAAACUCGGAAAGGGUUGCAGUAGCCGACUGUAUUCGUCUGAAAGCUGGAACGGCUACAUGGGACGUGAUUGAACCACUACAUCAACCCAGACUAAAGCAUUCAGCAUGCGUUAUUAAAGACCGAAUAUAUGUCUGCGGCGGCCAGCACGCCGGAAAAGACCACGCACUGACGAUAGAAUUUUUCGAUACUAAACGCAAUGCAGCAUGGUCGACCGUCACCUUAUCCGGAGAGGAUGUCAAUGUCUUAUCGGACUGGGCAGCUGGAAUCCCAUGGUCUCGGGAAAGAAUAACUGCCGCCACCUUCUAUCAUCCUUGACAGCGGCGUCUGCCGACUAGACCAAUCUUUCCCUGUUAGACGGACUAUUGAACAACGGUGCGUACAAUAAUGUUUCCAUUGCAACAUCUCUAAACUCUU
Paramacrobiotus metropolitanus is the source of this 2053-nucleotide long non-coding RNA. RefSeq lists it as uncharacterized. The transcript has 3 exons. The record is from RefSeq and is a predicted model, not a curated record. Lineage: Eukaryota; Metazoa; Tardigrada; Eutardigrada; Parachela; Macrobiotidae.